UUUUUGUUCUUGUGUUUAGUGUUCACAUUUGCCAAUUCUUAUAAAUACUUGUAAGUGUAUGUAUGCUCAGUGAGCAUAAGACAUUGUACCAAUUGAUUCCUGCAGGAUCAGGUGAACACUGAUGUGUGUUUAAAUCAAGCAAUAUUGCUGUAAUGUGCCAUCCCCUCACUUUCAGUAGCAGUUUCUGUGCUGUAAGAUUCCAACCUGUAGUCACUGAUGCUCACCAGGCAAAUCAUAAGUAGAAUUUUCGAGACUGGUUCUCUUUCAUCAUCUUGUGUUCGAGAUCCACCUAUGGGGAAUGACAUUUGGUCAUGACUCCUCAGAAGCAUCCAAGUGCACCAAGUCCAGCGCGUCCAAUGGUACAGGAGGCAUCGCCCUUGUUAGAGCCUAUAGGACGCUAUAGUGCUACUACUCAUCAGUUGACAUUCGCUUCUUGCGAUCAUCCAAACUGAGCUCACAGCCUCAAUCUUGCAUCUCACAACAAGAAACUUAUCACUUAACUGUCCGCAGGAGAACAUAUCCUGUGAUCGGCCUCUGCCGGACGUGAAAGGUUUGAGAGUUCGGUCAGUGCUGAUGAGCUCACUAGCUUGCUGCCCUCACAAGCUUCUGUAUCAGGCAGCCCAUGCCUUCGAUACACCCCCUUGCUCACGCUAACGCGGAACAGGACUGCUAGCCAACCACGCUAGCCUUCUAGUGCUUAAAGCCAGCCACCCACGAUGCCUUUAUUCGCUUAGCCAGCCUGCUAGCUCCCCGCUACAUGGCUUUUUCUAUUCCCGUCUCUCUUGAAUUCUCCGAAGAGCUGCACUUGCGAGCCUGCCCGGCCGCUUGCGGUGCUCUCAUCGCCGCCAAAGAUACCCAUCCUCUCUGUGUCAUGUGCUUGGGUUUUCAACAUGCCUCGACACUCCGGAGAGUUGCAGCCACUGCUUGGCUUUGCCCAGGAGGCUGCGGUGGCGGAGACUGAGAGUCACAGCUACCCACGGCAACAACCUUGGUCAGGAGGACUCUGAUAAAGAGGAUGACUGCACUAUGGCCCCUCCGACCCUGAGCAGGGCUGACCAGUCCGACCCAGACAUGUUGGGCCUUCCCCUCUCCCUCUCCGGUAUCCCUGUACUGGAGGAAGGGGCGCCUGAGUUGGAGCAUGACGACACGCCAAUUGCAUGUAAAGACUCAGGCGAGGAGGACGCCAUUCCUUCCGCCCAGUUAGCACCAGCUAUGGGGACGGCUAACGCCCAAGGAGCAGGAUGUUUACAGCUUUUCCCAGUCCUUCCCGCCUGUACUAAACACAUGGGGCACCAUUGGAAGGACACCUAUGACUUCAAGCUCGGGCUUUCCGGCCUAGAAGUCUAAGACAUGGCCGCCCAUGCCAUGGGGGAACCUCCAGCUGGCGAACCCUCCAUAGCUUGACACCUGAACCCCACGCAGGGAGGGCUUUUGGCACCACAAAAGCCCACUCUACCAAAUAAGAUGGACUGCUUCACAGCCUCCAUUCACCAGGCUUCUUACAGGUCCUCAACCCUCGCUAUUCGAGCCCUCAAUGUCUCCUCUCUACACUCGGUUUUCCAAGCCGAGCUGAUAGAGGACAUGGGAGGCAGCUCGAGAAGGGGAGCCCUUCCCCCAUACUGUGGCAAGAGAUUUUCACUGUUAACGACCUGCGGGCCCUGUGGCUUAAUCUCUCUGGUCUGCCCGACAGUGAGAAGAGGCGCAUCGCCUCCGGCUAUGAACCGCCAUGCCCAACCGGGUCAGGGCAGAGCCAAGCCCCAGGAAAACCCUAGGCUAGCAGGGUAACCCCCUUCCCAGGCCUUGGGGUAACAUGACCUCUGUGGCUGCAGUGAAGAAACCAUCACCCACCCCCGCUGACCCCAAGCGGAAGUGGCCUGCCUAAUCGGCUUCCCCGCUGGGGGGGGGGGGGGGCUAAAUCCAUGUUCUGGGGUGACCAGCCCCGUCGACACAUGUUCAUCUCCCCUCUCCAAGAAGAGGAGACUUCCAGUUCAGGGGGAGGGCCCCUUUCCCCCCAGGGAUUCCCACCCCUAUGUUCGCAGUGGUCAGGGCACCAGUUCCCGUGUCCCCCAGCCUCAGUCCUCUCUCUCAACGCCCAGAGAGGGAGACUCUGUUCUAGCCACACAGGUAGUGUUACCCACAUUCAGUGUGGAGAACAACGCCAGGCCAUUUCUAAUAAAGGCUUCUGCCCUGAAAGGCCAAAAGAAACUGUG
Anguilla rostrata (American eel) is the source of this 2210-nucleotide long non-coding RNA. RefSeq lists it as uncharacterized. Lineage: Eukaryota; Metazoa; Chordata; Actinopteri; Anguilliformes; Anguillidae. The transcript has 2 exons. The record is from RefSeq and is a predicted model, not a curated record.